UCAAUGCGCAUUGAACUAGCGUCAGACUUUCUUACGGAAUUUUCAUGAAAAGAAAGCUGUAAACGUUCGAUGGUUGUGCAUUUUCAUAUGUAUAUAUAUAUAUCCAAACGAUUUACUAUUCUAACAGCAUUUCACUUUUGAACAAAUGGAUUAACGUUGUGAAUUUCUUUCUUCAAAUCGAAAGUAAAAUUGGAAUCAUAACAUUUAGCGCUUUAAACAAUAAAUAUGUUUACAGUUUGAGGAAGAGAAUCGAACGGAGACAGUGGGACACUUAUGCAAUACAAACUAUAAAUGCCCAUUGCAGUAAUGGCUAAAAAGACUUUUGAUGUAAUAUUUGUUUUAUCACAUAACUGGGGACAAUAAAAACUAGUAUUCUUAUAAUUGUUUGUUAUAAUUCAGGCCCGUAGCCAGUGUUUUGAAAAGGGUGGUGGUGCGACAGCUCUAGGACACUGUAUGACAAAUUCCUGACUUUCCUGCUGGUAUUGCACUAGGAGGGGAAAUGAAAGACAUGCUUGAAGAAGAAAUAUGUGACCUGACGAACGACGGACAGCAAGCCGAGCAAGAAGUUUGGGGUGCCAGGCAGCUAUUCAGCAUAUUAACCAGUGCAGAUCAGAGGUUGAUGCCAACGUUAAAAUGGUCGUUGAUUGGAUUCUGCAAACGAAAGGUCAUUUGACCGCUGUAACCACAACUCCCGACAUGUAUGGAGACGAUGACCUGCAUUUCUUCUUAGACAUGGAUUUGGGGAUCUUAGGAGCGAGCCGGACAAGUACGGCGAUAUGCCCUACACAUAAAAUCAAUGUCAUUUGUAUUUGAGAUAACACGUAGUAUGCAGAUAUUGAUUUCGAUGUCUUAUUUAAUCGUGAUUUAACGAUGGUGGUAUUAACUUAAUGAAGGAAGCAUGGUACAUUGGUUUGCUUCCUCGCUUCGGUCUUCUUUCUGAUCACUAGAUAAAUUUCCGUUUUCAGUAAUUUUAUUUCUUUCCGCUUGCAUCCGCCGUUCACACAUAUUUUGGAAAAUGUUUGAGUUUUAGUUCGAAAAAAAAUAUAUUUGUCUGUAUGAUUAUUGAGGUUUUAGCUAUGAAUUAUCUUCGAUUUGCAUUUUAGCUGUUUCUGUUCUCUGACUCUUUUGAGUGAAACGGUUCAAAAGCAGACAAAUUAUCUAAAGUGUUUAGCCUUAUCGCUCUAUUAAGCCAAUAGUCUACCGAUCGCCAAUGAAAACGUUCAUAAACACGGCUUUCUGCGCACUUUUAGCGCACUUUCAAUUAGCCUGAAGCUUUUUCGGCGUAGCUGUUUAACCCAGCGUUAUACCUUGGCUUACAUUUGUAAGCUUCCAAUAAAAUAUGGAAAAAAUGCCAGUAGGCCUGAAACUUUUAGACAUAGAAAACGUUAAAUUUACAAACAGUUAUAACAUUUACAUUAAUAGGUAACUGAAUUGACUUUCUAUUUGUGAUGGUUAAGGUAUGCGAAGUCAGCAUGAAAAAAUUGUAUCUCUAUUGAAAAGGCUUGAUGGAUAAAACAGUUUCACACUCAACUCUCGUGAUCAAUACAGUUUGCCCCUUUAUAUUGAUAUAUUUUUAUAUUGUUAUCGCCUGAGCGUUCUCAUAAUAAGUAAUUACUACUAUAUUGCAUUCUGUGAACUAGCAUAUUUUAGAUCGUAUUGCUGUUCCCUAUCGUGCUGUUCGUUUGAACCGAAAUAGUUUAGUAUUGUUUUCGAAAUUUACUGUUUAACAUGUGCAAGUAUUACGUUUCAAACAAGCCAUCGUUCUAUCAGUGGAAUAGGAACCUCAAUUGAAUGCCUUGCAUUCCAUUCGGCACGGUAUCAAGGUCAGCUCGUGUUAACGUGAACUGGACUUUUAUUUUAGAUACAUCAUAGUUGAAGUUAAUCGGCUAAAUCAUUAUGAUAUGUCAAUAAUAGAUUAAUAAUGUGUUAUAAACAAUUCAUUGAUAGGAACUAUGUUUGAUAAAUUUAAUACGAAAUAUUACACCAUAUUGACCAAUUUAUUUUGCAUGAGCGCGAUGAUUACCGAUACCAAUAUUCGAAUCAAAUAACAAUGUCUGUCAAACCACUAAAACAGGUCUGUUCACAGAACGCGCGUAUAAUUGUGUCAAAUAUGUUUGAAUGAUUAGCGUGUGGCCGGUUUAACUAUUUUUAUGUCCUCCUUCGAAGAAGAGGGGGUAUAUUGUUUUGAACAUGUCGGUCGGUCCGUCGGUCGGUUCGUCGGUCCGUCCACCAGAUGGUUUCCGGAUGAUAACUCAAGAACGCUUAGGCCUAGGCUCAUGAAACUUCAUAGGUACAUUGAUCGUGACUGGCAGAUGACCCCUAUUGAUUUUCAGGUCACUAGGUCAAAGGUCAAGGUCACAGUGACUCGAAAUAGUAAAAUGGUUUCCGGAUGAUAACUCAAGAAUGCUUACGCCUAUGAUCAUGAAACUUCAUAGGAACAUUGAUCAUGACUGGCAGAUGACCCCUAUUGAUUUUCAGGUCACUAGGUCAAAGGUCAAGGUCACAGUGACUCGAGACAGUAAAAUGGUUUCCGGAUGAUAACUCAAGAAUGCUUACGCCUAGGAUCAUGAAACUUCAUAGGUACAUUGAUUAUGACUGGCAAAUUACUCCUAUUAAUUUUCAGGUCCCUAGGUCAAAGUUCAAGGUCACAGUGACUCGAAACAGUAAAAUGGUUUCCUGAUUAUAACUUAAGAAUAAUUAGGCCUAGGAUCAUUAAACUUCAUAGGAACAUUGAUCAUGACUAGCAGAUGGCCCCUAUUGAUUUUCAGGUCACUAGGUCAAAGGUCAAGGUCACAGUGACAAAAACGUAUUCACACAAUGGCUGCCACUACAACUUACAGCCCAUAUUGGGGGCAUGCAUGUUUUACAAACAGCCCUUGUUACAUUUCAUUUCCAUUUGUCUUUUGUAUUCCUGUUUUGUAUGCUUUGAUAUAUGAUCAAUAAUAUCUUAUAAUGCGAAAUACGCUAAGAAAUAUAGCACAACACACCGUAAUUAAUUUGUUUGUGAUGCAUCUAAGAACUGCGUUGAAAACACCGUUCAAGUGCUAAAGAUGAUUGCAACGAUGUGUGAACAAGUCGGUAAUAGCAUGCAAGUGAAAAUGACGAGUGAAGUAUGCUAUAGCAAUCGAACCACAUGCAUAUGCUUCGAGGCAGAAAAAGUGAAUUAUAUAAAAUUAUUUGUUUGCCUCGAAUUUUUUAUAGUAAAGGAUAAAAUUAAGCGAUGCUGAUUAAAUCUGCAUAAUGAUAUUAUCAACUUGAUUUUAUAUAUACUUAUGGUUAUUCAAGUAACCGCGUUUUACUACAUAUAUGUCGUUUUCUGCUUAUCAUUAAUUUACAUUAAUUCAGACAAUAAAAGUGUGCUCAGUACACCUUCAUUGCGUAAGUUAAACAUAUAGAACGAUAAGUUAACACUAAAUGUUAAUUUACUUUUUAAAUCUUGAAAAAAAGAUUGUUUGAUUGUUUGAGUGUUUUCUUACUGUCACGUAUAGAUCGGUGACAUUUUUUCAAAAGUAUAGUAUUU
Molecule: long non-coding RNA, 3520 nt
Organism: Dreissena polymorpha
Lineage: Eukaryota; Metazoa; Mollusca; Bivalvia; Myida; Dreissenidae
Exons: 4
Source: RefSeq, a predicted model, not a curated record